UACGGGGGGGGCAAGCGUUGUUCGGAAUUACUGGGCGUAAAGGGCUCGUAGGUGGCCAACUAAGUCAGACGUGAAAUCCCUCGGCUUAACCGGGGAACUGCGUCUGAUACUGGAUGGCUUGAGUUUGGGAGAGGGAUGCGGAAUUCCAGGUGUAGCGGUGAAAUGCGUAGAUAUCUGGAGGAACACCGGUGGCGAAGGCGGCGCUCUGGACCGAGACUGACGCUGAGGCGCGAAAGCGUGGGGAGCAAACAGG
Molecule: ribosomal RNA, 253 nt
Filed under: uncultured bacterium
Lineage: Bacteria
Description: partial 16S ribosomal RNA
Rfam family: Bacterial small subunit ribosomal RNA
Source: RNAcentral